CUCUGUCACCCAGGGGCUCCCAAGGUCCUGGCUGCUUAGGGACACAUGUUCCCAGCAGUGAUUCCAGUGCCAUGGCUGGAGUGAGUUUUCUUUCCUAAUUAUGGGGAGCCACUAUCACUGAGUUAUUGCAGUCACCCAAGCCUGUCUCCUUUUUUCUGUCUGCUGCAGUCCCUCUUCAGAGCUGCCUGGGUUCAGGGAGAGUUUUGUUGUUCCUUGAGGCAGGAGGUGAGUGUGGGACAGAGGGAUGGAUGCUGCUUUUCACUCCCUGGAAAGAUGUGGCUGCCCAAGGCCAGGCAGGCGGGAAUGCUGAUGGCAAUAAGAUCUCUCCUCAUCCUUAGUGCAGCACCUUGGUGCACUUUCUGCCAGUGAGGAGUCACUUGGUGGAUUUAGGAAGAGGUGUCCUGGCUGGCUGAUAGCUCCAACAGAAGGAAGAAGAUGUUUCCUGUGCCAGUGGAGAACUUCUGUGAAUGGAUUUCCCUAACACCAAGCCAGCUAACAAACCCCAGGCUGUACAUGGCUAAAUAAACGUGGUUAAAGAUACCUCCAGGUUCCUGCAUUAAUGCUUUGUUUCCUUCCUCACAGUUUGGACUGUGACUUGGAAUGAGCUCUUGGUGUCCUGCGCUUGGUGCUGGCUGAACAUUUGGGGAAUGUCCAUCUUCUGCUGCUCACAUGGAAUCAGAGGGAGAAACAAGAAGGAUUUCUGGAGCAUGGACCAGGCUUAGGUAG
Molecule: long non-coding RNA, 726 nt
Organism: Melospiza melodia melodia
Lineage: Eukaryota; Metazoa; Chordata; Aves; Passeriformes; Passerellidae
Exons: 4
Source: RefSeq, a predicted model, not a curated record